This 1217-nucleotide ribosomal RNA is filed under the name Pseudomonas sp. URMO17WK12:I10. RNAcentral describes it as "bacterial LSU rRNA". It matches the Rfam family "Bacterial large subunit ribosomal RNA", at positions 1727 to 2925 of the family's 2925-position model. The record is from RNAcentral. Lineage: Bacteria; Pseudomonadati; Pseudomonadota; Gammaproteobacteria; Pseudomonadales; Pseudomonadaceae.
ACCGUAACUUCGGGAGAAGGUGCGCCGGCGAAGGUGAAGGGCUUGCCCCGUAAGCUUUUGCUGGUCGAAGAUACCAGGCCGCUGCGACUGUUUAUUAAAAACACAGCACUCUGCAAACACGAAAGUGGACGUAUAGGGUGUGACGCCUGCCCGGUGCCGGAAGGUUAAUUGAUGGGGUUAGCGCAAGCGAAGCUCUUGAUCGAAGCCCCGGUAAACGGCGGCCGUAACUAUAACGGUCCUAAGGUAGCGAAAUUCCUUGUCGGGUAAGUUCCGACCUGCACGAAUGGCGUAACGAUGGCGGCGCUGUCUCCACCCGAGACUCAGUGAAAUUGAAAUCGCUGUGAAGAUGCAGUGUAUCCGCGGCUAGACGGAAAGACCCCGUGAACCUUUACUAUAGCUUUGCACUGGACUUUGAAUUUGCUUGUGUAGGAUAGGUGGGAGGCUUUGAAGUGGGGACGCCAGUUCUCAUGGAGCCAUCCUUGAAAUACCACCCUGGCAACUUUGAGGUUCUAACUCAGGUCCGUUAUCCGGAUCGAGGACAGUGUAUGGUGGGUAGUUUGACUGGGGCGGUCUCCUCCCAAAGAGUAACGGAGGAGUACGAAGGUGCGCUCAGACCGGUCGGAAAUCGGUCGUAGAGUAUAAAGGCAAAAGCGCGCUUGACUGCGAGACACACACGUCGAGCAGGUACGAAAGUAGGUCUUAGUGAUCCGGUGGUUCUGUAUGGAAGGGCCAUCGCUCAACGGAUAAAAGGUACUCCGGGGAUAACAGGCUGAUACCGCCCAAGAGUUCAUAUCGACGGCGGUGUUUGGCACCUCGAUGUCGGCUCAUCACAUCCUGGGGCUGAAGCCGGUCCCAAGGGUAUGGCUGUUCGCCAUUUAAAGUGGUACGCGAGCUGGGUUUAGAACGUCGUGAGACAGUUCGGUCCCUAUCUGCCGUGGACGUUUGAGAUUUGAGAGGGGCUGCUCCUAGUACGAGAGGACCGGAGUGGACGAACCUCUGGUGUUCCGGUUGUCACGCCAGUGGCAUUGCCGGGUAGCUAUGUUCGGAAGAGAUAACCGCUGAAAGCAUCUAAGCGGGAAACUUGCCUCAAGAUGAGAUCUCACUGGGAUCUUGAAUCCCCUAAAGGGCCGUCGAAGACUACGACGUUGAUAGGUUGGGUGUGUAAGCGCUGUGAGGCGUUGAGCUAACCAAUACUAAUUGCCCGUGAGGCUUGACCA